This 458-nucleotide ribosomal RNA is filed under the name uncultured bacterium. RNAcentral describes it as "bacterial SSU rRNA". It matches the Rfam family "Bacterial small subunit ribosomal RNA", at positions 346 to 796 of the family's 1533-position model. The record is from RNAcentral.
GUGCAGCAGGCGCGAAUCUUUCGCAAUGGGCGAAAGCCUGACGAAGCGACGCCGUGUGAGCGAAGAAGGCCUUCGGGUUGUAAAGCUCUUUCGCUUGGGAACAAGAGAGGCUGGCAAAUAACCAGCCGAUUUGAGGGUACCAGGUAAAGAAGCACCGGCUAACUCCGUGCCAGCAGCUGCGGUAAUACGGAGGGUGCAAGCAUUAAUCGGAUUUAUUGGGCGUAAAGGGCGCGUAGGCGGGGAUGAAAGUCAGAUGUGAAAUCCCGGGGCUCAACCUCGGAACUGCAUUUGAUACUCCAUCUCUUGAGGAUAGGCGGAGAAAACGGAAUUCCACGUGUAGCGGUGAAAUGCGUAGAUAUGUGGAAGAACACCGGUGGCGAAAGCGGUUUUCUAGCUUAAACCUGACGCUGAGGCGCGAAAGCAAGGGGAUCAAACAGGAUUAGAUACCCCCGUAGUCC